This is a long non-coding RNA of Pogoniulus pusillus (Red-fronted tinkerbird), 776 nucleotides long. RefSeq lists it as uncharacterized. The transcript has 2 exons. The record is from RefSeq and is a predicted model, not a curated record. NCBI's taxonomy places the organism in Eukaryota, Metazoa, Chordata, Aves, Piciformes, Lybiidae.
GGGAACCUGCUCCGAGCGCAGCCGCUCCCCGUGCUGAGGGCGCUCGUCGUGCCCCGCCGGCUCCGCGCCGUGACGGAGCCCGCCCCGCCCUCCGCGCUGCCCGGCCCCUGAGCGGCGGCUGCCCGCCGAGGAACCCUCACCCCCACUGCGGGGGCAGCGAGCGCCGCACAAAAUGUCCUCGGGGCUCAACCUCCUUCCCGGGCAGGGCAGCCGAGAGCGCAGCGCCCCCAGCCCUGGCUGCCUUUGCCCUUCGUUAGGGAACUUAAAGCUGUGCCGGGGAACGGGUCCCCGCUGCAGACUGUUCAGACGGCACAUGAGAAGAGAGGCUAGAAACUUGACGAGUCUCCUCCAGCAUCUCCUCUCUCCGAACAGAUCUAACAAUUUCUUACCCCUACGUUUUAAUUGUUUGAAAACAAUAUGUGGUUUCAGAUCUUGGAUUGUUUUAUCUCAUGCGUUCACCCGUAACUUCCAAGGGGUAUUUGCAGCCAUACCUUAACACAUUUCACCCAGAGAAGUUUAUGUCUCUUCCUAGCAGAGUCUUGGGUUAGUGCUCUGGUUAAGGGAGAUCCUCAUGAGUGCCAAGCAUCAUGGCAACUACCCUGUUGUUCUUUUCUACCAAUAUCCAAGAUAUAAAGAGAGAAGCUUCUCUCCUUCUAUGAGAGUUCAGAGAGAGUGAGAAAAGAGCAAUCGAGACAGAGCGCUCAGAUAUGUUGAUACUCCAAAUAACUCCUUCUUUGGCAACAAUACUUUGCUCCCAUGGAGUUAAUCCAGGCUAC